Molecule: non-coding RNA, 73 nt
Organism: Myotis lucifugus (little brown bat)
Lineage: Eukaryota; Metazoa; Chordata; Mammalia; Chiroptera; Vespertilionidae
Source: Rfam
GGCAGUUCUUGGGUGACACACCAUGGAAUCGGGCUCCCUCCUCUCUGGUUCCAGGUGGCACCCAAGAACCACA